UGCUCAAUGAUAAGUUAUUAAAUAGCCGCAGUAUUUUGACUGUGCGAAGGUAGCAUAAUCAUUUGUCUUUUAAUUGGAGGCUUGUAUGAAUGAUUGGACGAGAGUUUGACUUUCUUUAUAAUAUAUAUUGAAUUUAAUUUUUAAGUUAGAAAGCUUAAAUUUUUGAAAGGGACGAGAAGACCCUAUAGAAUUUUAUUAUUUAAUCUAUAAUAAUUUAUUGGUUAAUUGUUAUAUUUAUAUAGAUAGAAUAAUUUUGUUGGGGUGACAUAAGGAUUCUAAUAACUCCUUAAAAUAACUAGUUAUUACUAAAUAAUUGUAGGAUCCUGUUUGUAUGGAUUAUUAGUUUAAAUUACCUUAGGGAUAACAGCGUAAUUCUUUUGGAGAGUUCUUAUCGAUAAAAGAGAUUGCGACCUCGAUGUUGGAUUAAAAUAAGUUUUAAGUGUAGUAGC
RNAcentral lists this ribosomal RNA (449 nucleotides) under Myota aerea. RNAcentral's name for it is "partial large subunit ribosomal RNA". It matches the Rfam family "Archaeal large subunit ribosomal RNA", at positions 1952 to 2631 of the family's 2987-position model. Lineage: Eukaryota; Metazoa; Arthropoda; Insecta; Hemiptera; Pentatomidae. The record is from RNAcentral.